CAGGCCCUUCGUCAGCUCUCCAGCUGGCUUUCCCUGUUCUCACCUUCUCGCUUUAACAAAAGAGUCUGCCUGGAAGCACUUAACCCAGUGGCUCUGCCUGGAGGUCACCUUCCCAUUGAGACUCCAUCCCCACCCCACCCCGUCCUUCUGGGACGUGAGCUCCUCAAGGGAGGGCCUUCCGUCUGUUUGUCCUCCCCUGGGCCUCUGAGCUGGCAGUCCCCGAGACGGCCCUGGCAUGGAGCGGAUCUUGAUAAAUGUGUUGACCAAACAGUUCUGCCCACUGUGAGGCUCUUGGUCAAUAUUUGUGAUGUUUCUGGGCUGAUCGGAGGAAGGAAAUGAGUUCCCAGGUCAACAGCAGGCCCACAAAACAGGUGGCGGGCCCGGAUCUGGGGUCCCGUCCACCCCGGACUCCCAGAGUGCCAAGCACUGGCGGAGAGCAGCAGGAAGGCCUGUGGAAUGAGGUACCCGGUCCCACAAGCCUUGCCUCCCUGGACCACUGUCACCCCACCAGUGGCCCCAGACGUCCUCGGGCAGGCCCCCUGUUGCUGACGGAGCAAGUCCCAGCUUUGGGGGGCCCCACCCUUUGGCCCGUGUCCAUCUCACCAGCCUCGCCGCAAGCCUCACCCACCAGGAACCUUGGUGACAGCUCCUCUGGGGCCUGCUGUCUGUUCCAGGACCUGAUCUAAGACACCGCAGUGCAGAGGGACAUGUGGCAUCUUCCCCAGCUGCACUGAUUCUGCAGGUGUGGGCCCCUCCGUUCUGCACCCACACCUCUAAUACCAGACACUUGGAUAAAACUCAGCGAACGAGACGCGGAGGGGAACCUCCUUAACCGGAUGAAGGGCAUCCAGGAACGCCGCGCGGCUAACAGCACACCGCUCAGAGGAGGGCUGAACGCUUUCCCCUCGGGUCAAGGAUGUCUGCUCCCACCUUCUCACCACCACCCCUGGGGUCCCAGGCGGGGCUAUCACGCGAGACAAGGGAGUGGCUCACAGACUGGAGAGUCAGGCCACAGACAGCUGCAGCUGUUCACAGACAACCUGACUGCCCACUGAGAAAAUCCCAAAGAAUCUGCAGGAAAAAGCUACUAGACCUGGUGAGUGAGUUUAACAGGGUGAGAGGAUAUAAGGUUGACAAAGUCAGCUGCAAUUCUGUAUACCGCAACGAAUAACCGGAAACUGAAAUGGAAACAGACCACCUCUGAGAGCACCGCAAACAAGCGAAACACCACCGACGGGUGUAUCUAAUACAAGACCUACAGGAUUUGCGUGCUGGAAACCACAAAACGGUAGUGAAAGAAACCCAAGACGAACCUAUGGAGACAGAAAAUAAACGGAGGAGGUCCCGUCGUGGCGCAGUGGUUAAC
Molecule: long non-coding RNA, 1366 nt
Organism: Phacochoerus africanus (Common warthog)
Lineage: Eukaryota; Metazoa; Chordata; Mammalia; Artiodactyla; Suidae
Exons: 4
Source: RefSeq, a predicted model, not a curated record